RNAcentral lists this ribosomal RNA (254 nucleotides) under uncultured bacterium. Its description in RNAcentral is "partial 16S ribosomal RNA". It matches the Rfam family "Bacterial small subunit ribosomal RNA", at positions 524 to 776 of the family's 1533-position model. The record is from RNAcentral.
UACGGAGGGUGCAAGCGUUAUCCGGAUUCACUGGGUUUAAAGGGUGCGUAGGUGGGUUGGUAAGUCAGUGGUGAAAUCUCCGUGCUUAACAUGGAAACUGCCAUUGAUACUACUGAUCUUGAAUUUUCGGGAGGUAAGCGGAAUAUGUCAUGUAGCGGUGAAAUGCUUAGAUAUGACAUAGAACACCAAUUGCGAAAGGCAGCUUACUACAGGAAUAUUGACACUGAUGCACGAAAGCGUGGGGAUCAAACAGG